CCUACGGGGCGCAGCAGUGGGGGAUAUUGCACAAUGGGGGAAACCCUGAUGCAGCGACGCCGCGUGUGGGAAGACGGUCUUCUGGAUUGUAAACCACUGUCCCCAGGGACGAAAAUGACGGUACCUGGGGAGGAAGCUCCGGCUAACUACGUGCCAGCAGCCGCGGUAAUACGUAGGGAGCAAGCGUUGUCCGGAAUUACUGGGUGUAAAGGGAGCGUAGGCGGGGAUGCAAGUUGGGUGUCAAAACUACCGGCUCAACCGAUAGUCGCACUCAAAACUGCAACUCUUGAGUGAAGUAGAGGCAGGCGGAAUGCCUAGUGUAGCGGUGAAAUGCGUAGAUAUUAGGAGGAACACCAGUGGCGAAGGCGGCCUGCUGGGCUUUUACUGACGCUGAGGCUCGAAAGUGUGGGGAGCAAACAGGAUUAGAUACCCCUGUAGUC
RNAcentral lists this ribosomal RNA (440 nucleotides) under uncultured bacterium. Its description in RNAcentral is "partial 16S ribosomal RNA". It matches the Rfam family "Bacterial small subunit ribosomal RNA", at positions 338 to 795 of the family's 1533-position model. The record is from RNAcentral.